This 448-nucleotide ribosomal RNA is filed under the name uncultured bacterium. Its description in RNAcentral is "bacterial SSU rRNA". It matches the Rfam family "Bacterial small subunit ribosomal RNA", at positions 328 to 793 of the family's 1533-position model. The record is from RNAcentral.
CUACCAGACUCCUACGGGAGGCAGCAGUGGGGAAUAUUGCACAAUGGGGGAAACCCUGAUGCAGCGACGCCGCGUGAGUGAAGAAGUCAUUCGUUACGUAAAGCUCUAUCAGCAGGGAAGAGAAUGACGGUACCUGAGUAAGAAGCCCCGGCUAACUACGUGCCAGCAGCCGCGGUAAUACGUAGGGGGCAAGCGUUAUCCGGAAUUACUGGGUGUAAAGGGAGCGCAGACGGCAGUGCAAGUCUGGAGUGAAAGCCCGUGGCUUAACCACGGGACUGCUCUGGAAACUGUGCAGCUAGAGUGCAGGAGAGGCAGGCGGAAUUCCUAGUGCAGCGGUGAAAUGCGUAGAUAUUAGGAGGAACACCGGUGGCGAAGGCGGCCGCCUGGCCUGUUGCUGACGCUGAGGCACGAAAGCGUGGGGAGCAAAUAGGAUUAGAUACCCUCGUAC